GACGAACGCUGGCGGCGUGCUUAACACAUGCAAGUCGAACGGAAAGGCCCUGCUUUUGUGGGGUGCUCGAGUGGCGAACGGGUGAGUAACACGUGAGUAACCUGCCCUUGACUUUGGGAUAACUUCAGGAAACUAGGGCUAAUACCGGAUAGGAGCUCCUGCUGCAUGGUGGGGGUUGGAAAGUUUCGGCGGUUGGGGAUGGACUCGCGGCUUAUCAGCUUGUUGGUGGGGUAGUGGCUUACCAAGGCUUUGACGGGUAGCCGGCCUGAGAGGGUGACCGGCCACAUUGGGACUGAGAUACGGCCCAGACUCCUACGGGAGGCAGCAGUGGGGAAUAUUGCACAAUGGGCGGAAGCCUGAUGCAGCAACGCCGCGUGCGGGAUGACGGCCUUCGGGUUGUAAGCCGCUUUCGCCUGUGACGAAGCGUGAGUGACGGUAAUGGGUAAAGAAGCACCGGCUAACUACGUG
RNAcentral lists this ribosomal RNA (468 nucleotides) under uncultured bacterium. Its description in RNAcentral is "partial 16S ribosomal RNA". It matches the Rfam family "Bacterial small subunit ribosomal RNA", at positions 28 to 507 of the family's 1533-position model. The record is from RNAcentral.